This 5737-nucleotide long non-coding RNA is filed under the name Lactuca sativa (garden lettuce). RNAcentral describes it as "long non-coding RNA (LSAT_LNC001497)". The record is from RNAcentral. Lineage: Eukaryota; Viridiplantae; Streptophyta; Magnoliopsida; Asterales; Asteraceae.
UUUUUUAUUUUUAUUAUAAAUUUCAAAAACUCCAAAAAUAUUUUAUUUAUUUUUUUUUGUGUGCUCAUUCGUUUAUGGGGAUAUAUUUGAUGACUUACUUAAGUGUCCCUAGAAGCAUGCUGCUGUAUGUGUCCCAAGCCUCAUAAGAUUUUGAAUAAUAGCCUUCAUGACCUGGUAUACACAAACCUUGUCUUCCCAAUAAGGCUAACACAUUUAUUCUAAUCGUGAGCUACCUCACUCUCUUCUCACAUGAGUUAAGAGUUUCCUGUUUGGUCCUUAUUUUCGCAGCAGAGGUACUAUGUUUUCUUACACCAUCCCCAUUACACUUCUCCAUUACAUUCGUUUCAUCACUGUAACCCUUGAGACUCUCAGAAACUACCACUGAGGUUUAUGGUUAUACAACAUCUGUGUUUAUGAUCUUAGUUUCGUGCCACUACGAGCUGAGUGAAACCCAAAAUUCAACACCAACGAAUUGACGGUGACCAAUUAAUUUGAUCAAGUUUUCACCAAUGAAUUGGAGAAUGUACCUUCAUGGAAUCUCAAUUUUUCUUUUGCGUGAUUUCAACGAAAUUGUUACACACCAUAACAUUUCUUCCCAAGGGAUCCAGUUUUAAAUUUUUAUCUGAGAUUUCAUAUUAAUCCAAGCCACUACAAAAUCAACUCCUACCUACUUGUUCAACAGACUACACCGGUCUCACAAGUACUUUGUUCACUUUCUUUCUUAUAUCAAGAAUUGAAUUGAUGAAUCCAAGCGAAAACACCCUUAAUUAGCCUAAUUAAAAAAUGCCUUUGAACAUUUAUUAAUAAAUGUUUGAUCGUAAUUCAACGGGAUUCCACACUAACACUUUGAGGUCUCUCUUGACCUUGAAGGAAGAGAUUCGUGCCCGGGAUCAUCAGUUUCGUGUCAUUAUUGACAUCACACAUUAUCCUAAAAAGAGUUGCUUUAUUUCUUUUUCAUUUACACUCUUUGCACGAAAAUCCUAGAUUUUCAAAACUUCUGUUACUAAUUAUUUUACAGGUUGGAUUAUUACUGGAUGGUUAAUAAUGAAGUUGUGGUCAAAAACUAUCCACGUGGUUCAUUUAUUCUACAAUGCCGUUUAAAAGGGAUAAGACGAAAGGUUGCUGACGCGGCAGGAGUUCAAAGGAUAAAUAUUCAAACGACGAUAAAAAGGAGGGCGCGUGAAUUUGAAUCGGCCGCGCUUUUUCUGACACUUCUGGACGCGUGUGCGAUAUUGAAACGUCAUCAAUCCGGCAUUAAAGGCGCGUGUGGAAAUGGAAACGGUUCUUCUCUCUGAACCGGCGCUUAUUGGGCGGCGUAAUCCUAGGAAUCUGACACUCUCUCUCCUACGUGAUCAUCGCACGCCCCAACUGUCACCAAUCAGUCACUCAAAAAACCCGCUUCGUAUUUCCAUAAGAGAUUUGAAACGAUUUUUCUCUCUCCUAUCACCCACUAUAAAAGGCCGUCAACACCACCUUUUACCUCUUUACUGCCUCCAUAAUUUCCAAAGCAAAAAUACUCCCAAACACUCUCCCGUUCAUCUUCUUCUCCAAACCUGCAACAAUGGCUGAAUCUUCUUCUGUUCAUGCAACUUCUCAGAUUCUUCCCAUCCGACCCCAACAAUGCCUAGUCAUUGAUCUGAACCCACUGGCGUAUGAUUCCUACAUGUCGCCGGUCAUAGAAUGCCUCAAGUACUCCCAGCUUGCUCCUGCACUGUCAAGAAUUGAAACGGUGCCAAUGGUGGCCUUAUCACAGGUCUAUGCGACGGCUUACUACGACAAGGACAUCGACCGGGUAUUCUUUGAAGUGGCAGAACACAAGACUUCGAUUUCUCGCCCCCGUUUCUGCACUAUGUUAGGGUUUGCUGCUGACCCAUCGCGAGUUCACCCGGAGACGAUUCCGGUUGGGAUGUUGUACAACAUGUUUUACAACAUGGGCUACACAGAGGUUCUCACCUCCGUCGCCAAGUUUAAGAAGUCCUGCCUACCGCCCCAGUGGAAUGGGUUAUUUACAGUUCUCUUCAAGGGACUGUCAGAGAGGAGCUCAGGAUCUGACGGUGCAAGUCGUCUUUUCCUUUCGAUAAUGUAUGGGGUGUACAAUGGGAUAAACCUGGACUAUGGGUUUGUCCUUUGGCAACAGCUGAUUCAGAGCCUCUCUUCCUCUUCCCGACACUCUGAGGUGUCGUUGGCCCGGUUCUGGAUCUUGAUCACAAGAUGGGCCAUGGACAAGUUCAAUGUUCCAACUGCCGAUGGUGCAUCGAUGUCUUCUAUUGGUACGUUUCAUACCAAGAAGAUCAUCGUAUCCGAUGCAUCAAAAUUCUCAUUCAUUGGCUCUAUCCCGGAGUCGAUGUAUGCCGAUGUGCCCGCCGAUAGCAGACUGAUCAGGACGAUCAAGGAGUUUAGGCCAACUGGUCCGAGGGAACUGACACCGGACAUGCUGCGAUCGAUUCAUGAUGCCGAUAAACCGGUGGCCAGGGGCAAAAAGGCAGAGAAGGGGAAGCAAGUGUCCAAAGCUCCAAAGGGACCUUCUCCCAAGAAGCGAAAACAACCGAAGGCUGCUUCAUCCCCACAGCCGAAAAGGAGGAAGACCCAACAGAAGCGAAAGCUCGUUAUUCCCUCCUCUUCAAGCGAAUCCGAAGGUGGGAGUUCGGACUCUGAAGGAUCACAAGGAGACGAAUCUCCUCAACGAGGCAACACACCACCUCGGUCCCCAACCCCAGAGAUGGAACUUCAUCAAUCCCCAGUUCCUUCACCUCCACCCACAAUUCCUAUUUCCAUUCCCACCAUAAACCCCACUAUUCCCCCAACCUCAUUCCCUAUACCUCCACCCAUAUUCACCACAUCAACCGAAACACCACCAGUUACCGAAACCCCUCCUGUAACCGAACCACCACAAACUCAAACACAUACAACCGACCCUACCCAUACACAACCACCACCUGAAACUAACCCCCCACCCACUCAACCUGAACCAACAAAACCCAUAACACCCCCAGCUUCACCACCACCUCAAUCUCCAGAAGACGCCUCCGAUGGCGGUGAUCAAUACCUUGGUGGUGAUCACAUGAACUUCGAUUCGGUCUACUAUAGUCCGUUUCAAGUUCAGAGUGAUGAGGAGGAUGAUGCUCCAGUGACAAAGAAGCAUCUUCGCGAGCUUAACGAGAAGGUUGAUCAACUUCUCGCCUCCUCUUCCAACCAGCAGUCAUCUUUGUCUGAAGCUGCCCUUCAGAAGAUCGUUGACGCCUUCUCCAGGGCUCAACAUGAUUCCGUGGCCUCAGCAACUGCUGCUAUCGACGCCUCCACCCGAGCCUGUGAGGCAGCGACCGAAAAAGUCGAUAAACUAUUCAAUGACGCUUCUGUCCUGCUGCAGUCUUUGCAGGAGAGCGCCGAAGCCACUAAGACAACUCUGGAACCAGUUGUUCAACAAUUGGCCAAGUUUGUCUCGACGGAGCUGUCUUCGUUCGCUACUCUCAGACAACAUCUUAGCGACGACAACUCGGCACUUCGUGCCUCCAUCGAUGCCCGCCUGGCAAAGCUACAAGAGGAUCUUGCGGCAGAAAAUUCUCUGAUGGACGUCUUGGCGAGUAAGACUACCGCCCUUAAGGUCAAGAGCACGCAGCUUUCCAACUCCCAGCAACAAUUGGAAGCUCUUCGAUCCGAGAGGGAGGUCAUAAAGACGUGUGUUUCGGAUGUCCACGCAGCUCUAUCAAACAUCCUGGAAGCACACGACCCCAUCCUUAACCACUCAGUGAGGCGUACCCUCGCUGAAAAACUCUCUCCGGCCAUGGACCUUUUAAGCAAAAUUGAAGGCCUACCGAGUUUCGUGUCCAUUCCGAAACAAGGGGGAGAUGAGAAGAAAGGAUCGAAACCACCUCCUUCCUCCAAAGCUACUCACACAACCGAACCACCCCCAACUGGUCAUGCCUCGGGUUCGGGUGUGAAGAACAAGGGCAAAAACAUAGCUGAGGGAGGAGAUGAAGAUGAAGAUGAAGACAAGGAGACCAUUGCGGACAUGUUAAAAAGAAAGAACAGUCGCAAUGCUGAAGACGAUGCCAGUCGUGUGGCGCGUGAGGCUGAAGAAGCCGAACGAAAGCAAAAAGAAGCCCACGAUCUCCUUGAGAGCCGAAAGUUGCUCUUCCCUGCCUGGACCAGGGAUCGUAUGAUAAAAGAGGCCAUAGAGACUCCAAGCAUACUAUGGCUCGAGCCGGUGAUAUCAUUCGACUGCAACAACUCUAUCGAUUCGCAGUUUGAUAUGCCGCUGACUCGAAAGGCGUUCAUCUUCCACGCCUUCUCUAACAUUUUUGAAGUCCCGCAUCCGAACGAUGAGCUUGACAGGGAGCUCAUUGACUUCUACCUGGAGGCCGCUCGCCCUCAAUACCUUACAUGGAGCGCCCAGAAGAUUGUUAAUGUUCGGGUGCUGAAGCCUUAUGCCGUGGGGAGAUUCACAAACGUUAAGUUCAAGCUUAUUCGUGGAUCUGCAAGAACUGCUCACAUUAUCACCCUGGCGGAUCUGCCGAAUCUGAAUCCUCAUGACUGGAUAGUCUUGUACAAUAUCCUGCUGACAGAUGAAUCCGAAUAUGGUCCCAUCAUAGACCAUGUCAAAAGGAUGUUGGCUUGCUACAUCAUGGAGGUUGCCCUAAUGGAUCAGGAGGUCGCCACAGUUUUUAAGAAGAAACCGAAAGUCGCACCUGUGGGAUCGGCCAGUGAUCUAAAUCAAAUGCAAAUGGGUAAGAUUGAUCCGAGGCGAAACUCAGUGAUGUUCACUAGAGCCGAAGGACAGAAAUGUCUCUUCGCUUUAGCUGACAAACAUCUUUACACCACAGCUUGCUUGGAGCACGUCUUAUCAAUUAUCAAGCGGUGUAAAGAGAAUUCGGCUGAUGACAUCAAGUACUUCAAUGAUAUGAUCAAUUGGUACAUCCGGUUUAGACAGACCAUCCUCUCCAUAACCAAGUGUCUGUUUAGCACCGUGAAGAAGAAGGUACCAGCUUCAGCUGCCGGCCCAAGUAAGAAGUGAAGGUCUCGCUCCAAAUUGACGCAAAGGGGGAGAUUGUUGGGCUGAAGAUUGUUUUGUUGUUGCGUCUUUUGGGCUCGUUAGUUUAGCCAUGUAUACUCCGGUUUGGGCCUGUCCAACCGAGAGCCUUUUAUGUAUUGUAUAUAAGUUAAUGCUUGCAUGCAUACUAGGUUAAGAUUGCAGAGAUAAUCGACAAAGCGAUUCAUCCAGAGUACAAGAUUUUUCUUCAAUCGUUCUUGUAAUCUUCUAAUCCUCUACAGUUGAUGUUCUUAAUCGAGCUCUUCUGAGGAUUUUGUUUAAUCAUUCGACACGUUUGAUUCAAGCUUUCUUGUUCUUAUUAUUGCGUUUUUACUGUUUUAUAUUCAUAUACUUGUUCAAGAUCUAAUCGAUCUUCAUAGAUUAAAAGUUAUUUUUAUCCCUUCAAUUGGUAUCAGAGCAGGAGGCUAUGUAAUCGAUACACAUCUGUUCUGUGAAAAAGAUUUCCAUUAGGGUUUUCCGCAAUCAUCGUUAUUUAUUGAGCCGUCAUCUUAAUUGACGUAUCUUAAUAUUUAUUGUUUUGCCCUAAUCUGCUUUAUUACAAGUCUGAUCUUUGAACAGGUUUUUACGAUCACAAUGGACGCGACGCAAUCAAACCCUAUUAAUAUUUCCAACAGCAUCGGUUCGACGACAAAGAUUCCAAUCUUAUACACCCAUGACUAUGAAGUAUGGGCGCAUCAUUUUGAAGAUUAC